RNAcentral lists this ribosomal RNA (253 nucleotides) under uncultured bacterium. RNAcentral's name for it is "partial 16S ribosomal RNA". It matches the Rfam family "Bacterial small subunit ribosomal RNA", at positions 524 to 776 of the family's 1533-position model. The record is from RNAcentral.
UACAGAGGUCUCAAGCGUUGUUCGGAUUCAUUGGGCGUAAAGGGCGCGUAGGCGGAAUGGCAAGUCGGUCGUGAAAUCCUUCGGCUCAACCGAAGAACGUCGAUCGAAACUGCCGUUCUUGAGGAUUGCAGAGGAGACUGGAAUUCCCGGUGUAGCGGUGAAAUGUGUAGAGAUCGGGAGGAACACCGGUGGCGAAGGCGGGUCUCUGGGCAAUUCCUGACGCUGAGGCGCGAAAGCGUGGGGAGCAAACGGG